UAUAGUCUUUGGGGCAAGGUGCGAAAGCGACGCUUUCAAUUCCUGACCGGCGGUCAUAGUCCGCUAACCUCCUUCGGAGGUUGAACCGAUGCGAUUUCGGUACCGACAGUACAGUCUGGAUGGAAAAAGACGGCA
Molecule: non-coding RNA, 135 nt
Filed under: Megasphaera vaginalis (ex Srinivasan et al. 2021)
Lineage: Bacteria; Bacillati; Bacillota; Negativicutes; Veillonellales; Veillonellaceae
Also listed under: 1 other name
Description: Megasphaera sp. BV3C16-1 FMN riboswitch aptamer (RFN element)
Rfam family: FMN riboswitch aptamer (RFN element)
About the family: The RFN element is a highly conserved domain that is found frequently in the 5'-untranslated regions of prokaryotic mRNAs that encode for flavin mononucleotide (FMN) biosynthesis and transport proteins. This element is a metabolite-dependent riboswitch that directly binds FMN in the absence of proteins.
Source: Rfam by way of RNAcentral